This 435-nucleotide ribosomal RNA is filed under the name uncultured bacterium. RNAcentral describes it as "partial 16S ribosomal RNA". It matches the Rfam family "Bacterial small subunit ribosomal RNA", at positions 29 to 507 of the family's 1533-position model. The record is from RNAcentral.
AGCGAACGCUGGCGGCAGGCUUAACACAUGCAAGUCGAGCGGGCACCUUCGGGUGUCCGCGGCAGACGGGUGAGUAACCCGUGGGAACGUACCCUUCGGUUCGGAAUAACGCUGGGAAACUAGCGCUAAUACCGGAUACGCCCUUAUGGGGAAAGGUUUACUGCCGAAGGAUCGGCCCGCGUCUGAUUAGCUAGUUGGUGGGGUAACGGCCUACCAAGGCGACGAUCAGUAGCUGGUCUGAGAGGAUGAUCAGCCACACUGGGACUGAGACACGGCCCAGACUCCUACGGGAGGCAGCAGUGGGGAAUAUUGGACAAUGGGCGCAAGCCUGAUCCAGCCAUGCCGCGUGAGUGAUGAAGGCCUUAGGGUUGUAAAGCUCUUUUGUCCGGGACGAUAAUGACGGUACCGGAAGAAUAAGCCCCGGCUAACUUCGUG